CGAGUUUGAGUGAAUCAAGCCAAGGUGUGCCAGUCUCUCAGGGCUAUGUUGAAGGGAGACAGGAGUGGGCUGGAACCCCACAUUUUGACCUGAUUCUGUGUUUCUGGUUCUCAUGUCGUCACCCCCUGGUCAGGUUCAAGCUCUUAGACUGGUCUCUAGAAGUGGCACCCUGAACAGGGACCUGGUCAAGGAAGUCUGCCCCAGGGGAAAAAUACAGUGAAUCAGCGACAAGGACUUCUGCAGUGGAGAGAAGCCGCUGGCAAAAGAAAGGGCUGGAUGAUUCCUUGUGGAAUGAGAAGAGCUUUGCCUUGUUUCCCUCAAGUGGUUGCUGCUACAUUUCUGAGAUUUGGAGUCAGUUUGAGGCCAACUAGUCAGGAAGGCUAAAAUCCACCCCAGAGGGCUCGAAGUCUGAAGCUUGUUCGCUUGAUUUCCCUCUAGAUGAGGUUGUGCUCAUCCAGAAGUGACUGCGUGAUGUUUUGGCUGCUGUCUGAUAUGAAUCGGGAAGAAAAUCACAAGACUAAAAGUUUCCUUAAUAGAAUCCAGCAUAGCCUCUGAGAAUUCUAUGGGAAAUCUGCUGCUGAGCAUACCACACAGCUGUGAAGAAGUGGGUACCGAAGACCAGAGAGGGACCUAGGAAGAAGUGGAUUUUUGGGAGAGGCUGUGACACCAGGAAAGGGUUAUAACACGCCGGUGACGUGAUGAGCGGGCAAACCCCGGGAGACCCUUGCCAGGUGUGACUGAAUACGUGAAGAAAGUCGGGAGCAAAUGAAAGACCAGGCUUUGUGAAUUCAGUGAUACUUCCUGCACCAUAGACUCUGGAAUCUAAACCAGUUUCUCCCAUGUGGUUCAUGAAUUUCUGCAUAAAAGCUUUGAAAACAUUUCCCAAAAGUCCCCAGGAGCUUUCAUAACCACUAAUUGGCCUCUACUUUUUGGAAGUUUGGUGAUCUAGAAAGUUGGAAUGGAAACUGCCGUCCUGCUAUAAAACACCAAGGAUCCUGGGUAAAAUAGAACACUUUAAAAAUACUGUUGACCUUGCAAGACCUUGAAGAAAAUCCACAUGUUGCAAGAACAAAGAGGAAGGCAAAAUCCAGAGCAUGAAACCUACAAAUUCAGCCACAAACAGUAGCUGCCUUCAGGGAUACCAGGACCCUCCCCUGUGGGUUCUAACUCCCAAGCAAGGACCAGACCACUCAGAUACCUUGUGGACAUUUCGAAAAGGCACUCCACCCCAGUCCUUACCGGUUAAAAGGGGACUCUCAAGAAAGGGGGCCCUCCAUGCUUACUUGCCAGGGACUGUCCUCUCUGUGCUUGGAGUCUUUUCAUGACUAUUAAUAGCACUUGGUUCCCCUUCAGAAAUAUGUAGAUUAGAACGACAAAUUACAUUUCCCUCUGUUCAAAGGCUACUUAGUAAAAGGAUGGGCAAGGAAACAAAAAUAGCUUCCAGCAGCCACAGAGUCAAGGCAUGCCAUUUCCACUUUGUGUUGCACAGGGAUAAAAAAGAUUUUAAGUUAAUAAAAGCAUGCCCUCUAAAAGUUAAUAAAGAUGAGCCCUUCUUCCACAUGGGGUCAAAACACUGUAUGAGUAUCUGUCUGUAUAUAUUGUAUUUAAAAGCUGGAAAACUGAAGAGAGAAAAAUCACUCAUACUUUCUCAAUCCAAAUAAAAC
Long non-coding RNA from Heterocephalus glaber (naked mole-rat), 1664 nucleotides. The record is from Ensembl. NCBI's taxonomy places the organism in Eukaryota, Metazoa, Chordata, Mammalia, Rodentia, Bathyergidae.